AGAGUUUGAUCAUGGCUCAGAGUGAACGCUGGCGGCAUGCCUAACACAUGCAAGUCGAACGGCAGCAUGAGGUGUAGCAAUACACCUUGAUGGCGAGUGGCGGACGGGUGAGGAACACAUCGGAAUCUGCCCGGUCGUGGGGGAUAACGUAGGGAAACUUACGCUAAUACCGCAUGAGACCGAGAGGUGAAAGCGGGGGAUCGCAAGACCUCGCGCGAUUGGAUGAGCCGAUGUCGGAUUAGCUAGUUGGUGGGGUAAAGGCCUACCAAGGCGACGAUCCGUAGCUGGUCUGAGAGGAUGAUCAGCCACACUGGGACUGAGACACGGCCCAGACUCCUACGGGAGGCAGCAGUGGGGAAUAUUGGACAAUGGGGGCAACCCUGAUCCAGCAAUGCCGCGUGUGUGAAGAAGGCCUUCGGGUUGUAAAGCACUUUUAUCGGGAACGAAACAUUGUCGGUGAAUAUCCGGCAAGACUGACGGUACCCGAGGAAUAAGCACCGGCUAACUUCGUGCCAGCAGCCGCGGUAAUAC
This 531-nucleotide ribosomal RNA is filed under the name uncultured bacterium. RNAcentral describes it as "bacterial SSU rRNA". It matches the Rfam family "Bacterial small subunit ribosomal RNA", at positions 8 to 526 of the family's 1533-position model. The record is from RNAcentral.